This 468-nucleotide ribosomal RNA is filed under the name uncultured bacterium. RNAcentral's name for it is "partial 16S ribosomal RNA". It matches the Rfam family "Bacterial small subunit ribosomal RNA", at positions 28 to 507 of the family's 1533-position model. The record is from RNAcentral.
GACGAACGCUGGCGGCGUGCUUAACACAUGCAAGUCGAACGGAAAGGCCCUGCUCUUGUGGGGUGCUCGAGUGGCGAACGGGUGAGUAAAACGUGAGUAACCUGCCCUUGUCUUUGGGAUAACUUCAGGAAACUGGGGAUAAUACCGGAUAGGAGCUCCUGCUGCAUGGUGGGGGUUGGAAAGUUGCGGCGGUUGGGGAUGGACUCGCAGGUUAUCGGCUUGUUGGUGGAGUAGUGGCUUACCAAGGCUUGGACGGGUACCCGGCCUGAGAGGGUGACCGGCGACAUUGGCACUGAGGUAAGGCCGAGGCAGGGAAGGGAGGGAGAAGGGGGAAAGAUUGAACGAGGGGCGGAAGGCGGGUGAUGCAGCGCCGCGGGCGGGAAGACGGCGUUCGGGGUGUAAAACGCUUUCGCCAGUGACGAAGCGUGAGUGACGGUAAUGGGUAAAGAAGCACCGGCUAACUACGUG